RNAcentral lists this ribosomal RNA (253 nucleotides) under uncultured bacterium. Its description in RNAcentral is "partial 16S ribosomal RNA". It matches the Rfam family "Bacterial small subunit ribosomal RNA", at positions 524 to 776 of the family's 1533-position model. The record is from RNAcentral.
UACAGAGGUCCCGAGCGUUGUUCGGAUUCAUUGGGCGUAAAGGGCGCGUAGGCGGUGUGUCAAGUCAGGCGUGAAAGCCCCGGGCUCAACCUGGGAACAGCGCUUGAGACUGGCACGCUCGAGUUCGGGAGAGGAUGGUGGAAUUCCCAGUGUAGAGGUGAAAUUCGUAGAUAUCGGGAGGAACACCAGUGGCGAAGGCGGCUUUCUGGCCUGUUCUUGACGCUGAGGCGCGAAAGCUAGGGGAGCGAACAGG